RNAcentral lists this long non-coding RNA (322 nucleotides) under Gallus gallus (chicken). The record is from RNAcentral. Lineage: Eukaryota; Metazoa; Chordata; Aves; Galliformes; Phasianidae.
ACCGCUCAUUAAUUUAUUACUGAUCAGAUCCAGUGACAUCGACCGCCGCGGGCGCAGCGCGGCACACAGAGAGCACCGGAAGCGCCGCCACCGCCGCCGCCCACCGCCGCCCCGCAGCGCCCACAGCGCCCCCAGCGGCCGCGGCUCCGUCAGUCCUCCUCCGUGCCGCUGCCGGAGCGCUCCUCUUCCUGCUCCUCGUCGCUGUCGUCGUCGCUCACCACGGGUUUGGCCGGGAGCCGCGGCUCGCCCGGCGCCGCCCCUUCAGCCGCUCCUGAGCCUUCUCCUUCCGGCCCAGUUUGAUCUUCACCUUCACCGAGCGAGC